CUUUUGCUGGCGACCGGCGCACGGGUGAGUAACACGUAUCCAACCUGCCCUUUACUCGGGGAUAGCCUUUCGAAAGAAAGAUUAAUACCCGAUAGCAUAAUGAUUCCGCAUGGUUUCAUUAUUAAAGGAUUCCGGUAAAGGAUGGGGAUGCGUUCCAUUAGGUUGUUGGUGAGGUAACGGCUCACCAAGCCUUCGAUGGACAGGGGUUCUGAGAGGAAGGUCCCCCACAUUGGUACUGAGACACGGACCAA
This 251-nucleotide ribosomal RNA is filed under the name uncultured bacterium. RNAcentral describes it as "partial 16S ribosomal RNA". It matches the Rfam family "Bacterial small subunit ribosomal RNA", at positions 78 to 334 of the family's 1533-position model. The record is from RNAcentral.